AACGAACGCUGGCGGCAGGCUUAACACAUGCAAGUCGAGCGCACCGCGAGGUGAGCGGCGGACGGGUUAGUAACGCGUGGGAACGUGCCCUUUUCUUCGGAAUAGCCUCGGGAAACUGAGGGUAAUACCGGAUACGCCCUUUGGGGGAAAGAUUUAUCGGGGAAGGAUCGGCCCGCGUCUGAUUAGGUAGUUGGUGGGGUAAAGGCCCACCAAGCCGACGAUCAGUAGCUGGUUUGAGAGGAUGAUCAGCAACACUGGGACUGAGACACGGCCCAGACUCCUACGGGAGGCAGCAGUGGGGAAUCUUAGACAAUGGGCGCAAGCCUGAUCUAGCCAUGCCGCGUGGAUGAAGAAGGCCUUAGGGUCGUAAGUCCUUUCGCUGGGGAAGAUAAUGACGGUACCCAGUAAAGAAACCCCGGCUAACUCCGUGCCAGCCGCCGCAGUAA
This 446-nucleotide ribosomal RNA is filed under the name uncultured bacterium. RNAcentral's name for it is "partial 16S ribosomal RNA". It matches the Rfam family "Bacterial small subunit ribosomal RNA", at positions 29 to 523 of the family's 1533-position model. The record is from RNAcentral.